Molecule: long non-coding RNA, 313 nt
Organism: Prionailurus viverrinus (fishing cat)
Lineage: Eukaryota; Metazoa; Chordata; Mammalia; Carnivora; Felidae
Exons: 3
Source: RefSeq, a predicted model, not a curated record
CAUGUUGAAGACGGGAGACAUCAGAUAGUUUCCUGUGUAAAAGGUCAAACAAAAUACCUCUUGGGUCACAUUCAGCCCACCAGUUCGGAAGUCUGGUGGAGCAAGAGAAAAGGAGUCAAGGAGAACAUCCUGAAAGACAGUCAAGGGAACAGGGGCAGCAAGAACAGAGCUGAGGAGGAGGAACCAGCAGAGUAGUGUGGUGAACAGCAAGAGAGACUUUCAAGGAAGGAAUCUGCUAAAAUCUACAAACUGCCAUGCUGACAAUAGGCAAGAAACAGAAAAGCAUCUGGAAAGCAAUGACAUAAGAAUUCAU